AUCUGUUAAUAUACCUAUCCUGAACUCCAAUUUCUGUUCUGUUGAAAAAACUUAAAAGGAUCUGGCUUCUGAAGU
Small nucleolar RNA from Sorex araneus (European shrew), 75 nucleotides. Lineage: Eukaryota; Metazoa; Chordata; Mammalia; Eulipotyphla; Soricidae. The record is from Ensembl.